RNAcentral lists this ribosomal RNA (750 nucleotides) under Enterococcus faecalis. Its description in RNAcentral is "bacterial SSU rRNA". It matches the Rfam family "Bacterial small subunit ribosomal RNA", at positions 68 to 789 of the family's 1533-position model. Lineage: Bacteria; Bacillati; Bacillota; Bacilli; Lactobacillales; Enterococcaceae. The record is from RNAcentral.
GCUUCUUUCCUCCCGAGUGCUUGCACUCAAUUGGAAAGAGGAGUGGCGGACGGGUGAGUAACACGUGGGUAACCUACCCAUCAGAGGGGGAUAACACUUGGAAACAGGUGCUAAUACCGCAUAACAGUUUAUGCCGCAUGGCAUAAGAGUGAAAGGCGCUUUCGGGUGUCRCUGAUGGAUGGACCCGCGGUGCAUUAGCUAGUUGGUGAGRUAACGGCUCACCAAGGCCACGAUGCAUAGCCGACCUGAGAGGGUGAUCGGCCACACUGGGACUGAGACACGGCCCAGACUCCUACGGGAGGCAGCAGUAGGGAAUCUUCGGCAAUGGACGAAAGUCUGACCGAGCAACGCCGCGUGAGUGAAGAAGGUUUUCGGAUCGUAAAACUCUGUUGUUAGAGAAGAACAAGGACGUUAGUAACUGAACGUCCCCUGACGGUAUCUAACCAGAAAGCCACGGCUAACUACGUGCCAGCAGCCGCGGUAAUACGUAGGUGGCAAGCGUUGUCCGGAUUUAUUGGGCGUAAAGCGAGCGCAGGCGGUUUCUUAAGUCUGAUGUGAAAGCCCCCGGCUCAACCGGGGAGGGUCAUUGGAAACUGGGAGACUUGAGUGCAGAAGAGGAGAGUGGAAUUCCAUGUGUAGCGGUGAAAUGCGUAGAUAUAUGGAGGAACACCAGUGGCGAAGGCGGCUCUCUGGUCUGUAACUGACGCUGAGGCUCGAAAGCGUGGGGAGCAAACAGGAUUAGAUACCCUG